This 75-nucleotide transfer RNA is filed under the name Candidatus Peregrinibacteria bacterium. RNAcentral describes it as "tRNA-Gln". It matches the Rfam family "tRNA". Rfam says of the family: Transfer RNA (tRNA) molecules are approximately 80 nucleotides in length. Their secondary structure includes four short double-helical elements and three loops (D, anti-codon, and T loops). Further hydrogen bonds mediate the characteristic L-shaped molecular structure. tRNAs have two regions of fundamental functional importance: the anti-codon, which is responsible for specific mRNA codon recognition, and the 3' end, to which the tRNAs corresponding amino acid is attached (by aminoacyl-tRNA synthetases). tRNAs cope with the degeneracy of the genetic code in two manners: having more than one tRNA (with a specific anti-codon) for a particular amino acid; and 'wobble' base-pairing, i.e. permitting non-standard base-pairing at the 3rd anti-codon position. Lineage: Bacteria; Candidatus Peregrinibacteriota. RNAcentral also lists the same sequence under 2 other names. The record is from RNAcentral.
UGGGGAUUCGCCAAGUGGUAAGGCAGCGGACUUUGACUCCGCCAUGCGUAGGUUCGAAUCCUACAUCCCCAGCCA